UUCCCCUGGGGAGGGGGUGUGGGGGCGGGGCGGGGGCGAGGCCGUGGCCAUAAGGGGGGUGUGGGGGGGAGGUCGCCGCGGCCCCGAACACCCAGGGGGCCGGCAGCGGCGGAGGGGACUCUGGACCCAAACCACGGGCUCUUCCGUGGGUCGCCCCAGCUUUGGCGGGCGCCUGGGUCGCCCCUGGGAUGGAGUGUGGGCAGGUCUCCCCCCGCCAGGACCCCUCUCCCCAACACACACCGUGGCGCCUCACCUCCGCCGGCGCUUAGAGCUGGUGCGGACCAGGGGAACCGACUGUUCAAUUAAAACGACGCAUCGCCAAGGCCCGCGGGGUGUGGACGCGGGGUGACUGCUGCCCAGGGCGCUGCCUGUCCCAGCGGAGACAUUCCGUGUCAGUGGGCAGACGGCGGGGUAACGGGCUCUCCUCAGGUGGCCAAAUGCCUGUCAUCUAGUGAGUGACGCGGUGACUGGAGGAACGAGAUUGCCACUGUCCCUCCUACUGUCCGCGAAGCCACAGCCAAGGGCACGGGCUCGGCGGAAUCGGGGAAAGAAGACCCUGUUGAGCUGGACUCUAGUCUGGCAGGGGAAGAGACAGGAGAGCUGGAGAAUAAGGGGGAGGCCCCUGCGCCCCGCCCUGAGUCCCCCCAGGGCGCGGGGAGGGGGUCCGCCGGCCUUGCGGGCGCCGGUGAAAUGCCACUGCCCUGAUGGCCUCUCCGGGAACAGGGCCAGGCGGGAGUCUGGCUGGGCGGGCAGGGCGCCUGUCACCGGUAGCAGGUGCCCCAAGGCGAGCUCAGGGAGGACAGGACCCCCGGGGAGCAGAGGGCCAAAGCCCGCUGCAUCUCGGUUUUCAGUUCCAAUGCAGACCGUGCAGGCGGCCGCCCGCUCCUGACCUCCUGGGCUUGAAGCAGGCGGUGUCUGGAGAGUUGCCACGGGGUGGCCGGCUGUGGCGGCCAGGGGUGCCUAGCAGGCCGCCUUUUGAUCCUUCGCUGUCGGCUCUUCCUAUCACUGUGAAGCGGAACUCCCCACGCGUGGGAUUGCUCACCCACCAAGAAGGAACGUGAGCUGGGUGGGGAGGUGGUGAGCCGGUUAGCUUUCCCCUGCUGAGGCUGUGCUGUCGCCAUGGAGAUCCUGCUCGGUGCAGAGGCAGCGCAGCUCUGACAGUCGGUGGAGGUGCUUGGCGAGGAGCCCUGGGGCGCGCUAGCAUCUGUGGGGUUACGGCUGGAGCCUCUAAGCCAGAGUCCUCUAAGACUUGGCCUCGGAUAGCGGGUCCCCGCCGUCCCCUCCAGCGGGCCAUCAUGCCCCCGCCCAGCCCAGCGCUGCGUGGGGACCAGGGCCCGGUGU
RNAcentral lists this ribosomal RNA (1341 nucleotides) under Eptesicus fuscus (big brown bat). Its description in RNAcentral is "eukaryotic LSU rRNA". It matches the Rfam family "Eukaryotic large subunit ribosomal RNA", at positions 2012 to 3401 of the family's 3401-position model. The record is from RNAcentral. Lineage: Eukaryota; Metazoa; Chordata; Mammalia; Chiroptera; Vespertilionidae.